This 591-nucleotide long non-coding RNA is filed under the name Mytilus galloprovincialis (Mediterranean mussel). The record is from RNAcentral. Lineage: Eukaryota; Metazoa; Mollusca; Bivalvia; Mytilida; Mytilidae.
CAGAAAUAAACUAAGACAAAUAUGAUACAGAGACAUAAUUUCUGAAUGAUAUGAGACACAUAUUAUAUAUUUUCAUUGCGUAGAGGUAUUAUUCAUACUAUUUUUUCAAGUUACUAAAAUAAGAUUUAAUACUACAACAGUUUUAACAACAUUAUGUUUGCUUUAAACGGAUUUUCGUAUCAUACAUACAUGUAUAUCGCUUAUUCAAGCUACACAUACAAUACACAAGUACUUUUCAAAAUGAAACUAAAUCCAUCUUGUUCAGUGAUGUUGACAACAGUCAGAAAACUAUAUACAACACUUAAAUUAAAAAAGAGUAUUCAUGUAUUUCUUUUAAAUUUUGUUCAAUUCCAUCCUUGCAAAGUGGAAAAAUUCUAUGUUCUAAAGGCAUUCUAUUAUCAUGAUUAUAUCUACUAACUUCUAAUAGAAAUUAAUUACUACUAUUUUUUUACCAUUUUAGAAAUAUCACAAUUACCAUGGCAAGCUUUAAUAGAGUCACAAAAAGAGCUUGUUUCCUGGAUUUUAUUAAUUAUAAAAUGUUUAUAGCUUUUUGCUACUUGUAAGCCUACAACCAUGAUAAUUCACAGAUAU